This 69-nucleotide small nuclear RNA is filed under the name Gorilla gorilla gorilla (western lowland gorilla). The record is from RNAcentral. Lineage: Eukaryota; Metazoa; Chordata; Mammalia; Primates; Hominidae.
GUGCUCACUUCAGCAGUGCAUAUACUAAAAUUGGAAUGAUACAGAAAAGAUUAGCAUGGCCCCUGAACA